This 492-nucleotide ribosomal RNA is filed under the name uncultured bacterium. RNAcentral's name for it is "partial 16S ribosomal RNA". It matches the Rfam family "Bacterial small subunit ribosomal RNA", at positions 30 to 507 of the family's 1533-position model. The record is from RNAcentral.
AUUGACCGCUGGCGGCAUGCUUUACACAUGCAAGUCGACCGGUAACAGGGCUUCGGGUGCUUACGAGUGGCGAACGGGUGAGUAAUGCAUCGGAACGUGCACCGAGGUGGGGGAUAGCGCAGCGAAAGCUGUGCUAAUACCGCUUGUGAUCUGAGGAUGAAAGCGGGUGACUAAGCAGCAAUGUUUGGCCUUGCGCCUUUUGAUAGGCGGAUGUCAGAUUAGGUAGUUGGUGGGGUAAAGGCCUACCAAGCCGACGAUCUGUAGCUGGUCUGAGAGGACGACCAGCCACACUGGAACUGAGACACGGCCCAGACUCCUACGGGAGGCAGCAGUGGGGAAUCUUGGACAAUGGGCGCAAGCCUGAUCCAGCAAUGCCGCGUGCGGGAAGAAGGCCUUCGGGUUGUAAACCGCUUUUGUUCGGAACGAAAAGGCUCUGGCUAAUACCUGGGGCUGAUGACGGUACCGAAAGAAUAAGCACCGGCUAACUACGUG